CUGGCCUUGACAUCCAGAGAACUUUCCAGAGAUGGAUUGGUGCCUUCGGGAACUCUGAGACAGGCGCUGCAUGGCCGUCGUCAGCUCGUGUCGUGAGAUGUUGGGUUAAGUCCCGUAACGAGCGCAACCCCUAUCCCUGGUUGCUAGCAGGUAAUGCUGAGAACUCCAGGGAGACUGCCGGUGACAAACCGGAGGAAGGUGGGGAUGACGUCAGGUCAUCAUGGCCCUUACGGCCAGGGCUACACACGUGCUACAAUGGCGCGUACAGAGGGCUGCCAACUCGCGAGAGUGAGCCAAUCCCUUAAAACGCGUCGUAGUCCGGAUCGGAGUCUGCAACUCGACUCCGUGAAGUCGGAAUCGCUAGUAAUCGCGAAUCAGAAUGUCACGGUGAAUACGUUCCC
Molecule: ribosomal RNA, 401 nt
Filed under: uncultured bacterium
Lineage: Bacteria
Description: bacterial SSU rRNA
Rfam family: Bacterial small subunit ribosomal RNA
Source: RNAcentral